Molecule: transfer RNA, 75 nt
Filed under: Bacteroides thetaiotaomicron
Lineage: Bacteria; Pseudomonadati; Bacteroidota; Bacteroidia; Bacteroidales; Bacteroidaceae
Description: tRNA-Gly
Rfam family: tRNA
About the family: Transfer RNA (tRNA) molecules are approximately 80 nucleotides in length. Their secondary structure includes four short double-helical elements and three loops (D, anti-codon, and T loops). Further hydrogen bonds mediate the characteristic L-shaped molecular structure. tRNAs have two regions of fundamental functional importance: the anti-codon, which is responsible for specific mRNA codon recognition, and the 3' end, to which the tRNAs corresponding amino acid is attached (by aminoacyl-tRNA synthetases). tRNAs cope with the degeneracy of the genetic code in two manners: having more than one tRNA (with a specific anti-codon) for a particular amino acid; and 'wobble' base-pairing, i.e. permitting non-standard base-pairing at the 3rd anti-codon position.
Source: RNAcentral
GCGGAAAUAGCUCAGUUGGUAGAGCAUAACCUUGCCAAGGUUAGGGUCGCGAGUUCGAGUCUCGUUUUNUUUGCC